AGGAGAGGAGAGGAGAGGAACAUAAAUGUGUUUUUGCUCAUUUGAACUCACCCUGACUCGAGUGUUUGCAGCAGCAGCGGACAGUUAAGAAGCCCCUCCGUCACGAAUAACACGUAUGGCACAUUGUCCUCCAGACACCACAAGAUCGCAGACCACGGAGACUGGCCUGGAUGGUCGUACUCAACCACCAGAGAGAAACAGGUCCAGGGGAAGUUGGGGCCAAUAUCCUGUUCGUACACCACCACACACACACUGUCAGGCACACUGGGAACAGGACAGAGUGUGAGAACAGCAUGUUUAGUCAUACUUAUUCAGACAGCGUGACGAAUGACCCCUAAACUGAAGAUCACUAUAAACAGCUAUUACAUGUAUACAUUUUGUUAUUGCCAGAAUAUAAAAUAAUGCCAUAUUCUGGUUGUGAUUUAUAAGUAAUUUGCUGAAAUUAGGCUGUGAUCUGGACUAAAAACAAACAGAAAAGAAUUAUACACUCAACAUAUAUCUCAAUAUUUUCAAUAGGCUCUUCUAAUAUAUGUUUUAACAUAUUUGAGCACAAACCAGGAUGUGAGUGAAAUCCAAACUAAACAGUGAGCGAAAGAUAAUCUUAAAAGUGGUGUCACACACGACUCCUGGUCAAAAGUCUUGGUGCCAACACGUGCUCUGCUGCCCUUUGGAACUGAAAACACUCCUCUAAGUCUUUUCAGAAACGCCCUCCUGAGGCAGCUCAAACAGUACCAACAAAAAAACCUGUAACAAAUAACCUGAAGAACUUGUUGGCGAAUCCUCAUAAGAAGUUGAUCAUUAAAAAAGAAAUCUAUUUUUAAAUGUUAAUAACCUCAAACUUUAUUAACCAGCUCUCUUUCCUUCUAGCUAUCAAAAUUCUAUACAUCUUGAAAUCUGCUCGACAGUUUAGAUGAAUAAAUGAUUUUACCUGCUGACUACAGCGGCACCGUUCAGCUUUUUCUCAUCCUGCUCUGGACAAACUGCAGCUGCACCUCAAACAACAAAAAACACAAAUACAAUUAACUGUUUGAAGUCAUCUGUUUGCUUUAUUUUUCUUUGAAUAUUGUUUUAAUUUAGCAACCCUUUCUUCCACAGUGCUCUAUUUUUUUUUUUAGUGCUGCUGAUAAUGUGAUGACUGACCUGGUCAGUGUGCUGCUCACCUGUAACCUGGUUCAAGCUGCUGAUUAUUGUUAAUCUGCUGCCAUCAGUCAACUGAUACGAUGAUAAGAAUCUGCACAGACAAAUAAACUGAGCUCUUAUUGAGUCUUUUUCACAGAAACAUUUAUGACUUCCAGCUACAACUUAGCUGAUAGAAUAAUAGGACUGAUGACACACACACACACACACACACACACACACACACACACACACACACACACACACACACACACACACAGUGUAUUUUAUCUCUUGUUUCAAACACUGACUUUAUCUGAGGUGUUCUGCCCUUUCCUGCUGUUCAGCCACUCAGCCACCAGCUGCUGCAGCUUCUGCAGUUUGAGGCUGGGCUCUUGGUUCUUCUGACUGAGGUAGAGGAUGAUGUGCAGCCUCUUCAGCAGCUGCUGCAGACUCUGCUCUGCACACGCCUCAGCUGCCUUCGUCAGGUACUCUGUUGUUCAUGAAGAGAACACUGUAAAUCUCACAAUACGGUGUCUGUUUAAUUUAAAGCUUGAUGUAAACACUGAAACUAAAGUUAAGGCCUCAGAAAUCCCAGCUUCUUGUUUUGAGUGAUGGGAUCCCAACUGAUUGCAUAACUUCUGUCUGGAAUAUUUACAGGAGAUAUUUCUGUAUUUUGCCCCGGCUGUCUUUCACUGGCUCAACAUGGACAUCGCUUUCACAAAAACAGAAAAUAUACUAUAAUAAAACCAGCAUCAUCAUGAAAUUUACUUUGACUUAACCGUCCUGCUUUAACAUUUUAAACUAACUUAAUAAAGUUUGUCUGCUGGUAUGACAGCAGUUCAUACUGACCCAGACCCGUACUGAGGUCGCACUUCAGCAGCAUCUCCUUAAAUGUCACCAGCACAUGGAUCAGAGCCACCUGGUUGAAAAGCACUUCCUGAUCUGCAACACAGUGGGAGAGGGAGUAGAUAAUUUACUUCCUUCAAAUGUAGGUUUAAUAGCUUAACCCAACAAUAUGCAAAUGAAAACAUUAAUAUGUCAUUUCCUACCUUUGAUCAGUUCUGCAGUCUGUGCAGGGGACCUGCAGAGCGCCCUCUCCUGUUGUUUGAGGAGGAAGUGAGUUUGGUCUGGUGCCAAGCAGCUGAAGUCUUCACACCCCGGGAAGUUGAGCCCCAGCUGUCUGGCAGAGCUCAGACAAGGCUGAGCGAAGGCCAGGAGCUCACAGUAGGCUCGCUGCUGGCUGUCUGCACGAGGAGUUGACCCGUCCACGGAGCAGCGGGUUUUUCCUCUCUGGAAGCAUUUCUGGAAGACGCAGCACUCGUGUUGGCUGGCCUCGCAUCCAGUGUUUGAUUCUGCACCAGAGAAGGCUGCAGCUGUGACGAUGGUGUUUGUUGGUUCACCUCAGGCGCUGAUAAAUAAAAGGAUGAGCUGAGUGCUGGCUGGGCUCUGAGGUGGUGCAGUAAUGGGAGCGAUCUGCUGAGACCUCAGCAUCAUGAAUGUGGCCAGGGGGUCGAGGUCCAGCUCUGGUGGAUGUCUUGUAAACAGCAAACCUCUGUGACCAUCUCUGG
This is a long non-coding RNA of Archocentrus centrarchus (flier cichlid), 2687 nucleotides long. RefSeq lists it as uncharacterized. The record is from RefSeq and is a predicted model, not a curated record. Lineage: Eukaryota; Metazoa; Chordata; Actinopteri; Cichliformes; Cichlidae. The transcript has 5 exons.